AUGCCCAUACUAAACGUUCAAUUUGGAGAAAAUGGGGCUAAAAUCCCAGAGAUUAGAAAGGUAAAGCCUGGCGAGCUGCAAGGGAGAAAAAAAACCCAGAUCCAGAUGCAUAGAGGCGUUGAGGGCGGCCUUCUCAGGCUGGGUUAGCAAGCCGGAAUUUCCAGACGGAAAAAUUCAACGGCGACAUUGUGUGUGGUCGUGGUUUGCAACUUCAGAUGCAGACAUGGUGAUCUAGUCCACUGUUGUUGAAGACGAUAGCAGUAGUACAAUAUAAUUGCGAACAAUAAUUUGUGUACAAUAUAUAAUUUGGUAAUAAAAAGUUAGGGGGUAGUAAAAAGUUACAGCUCAUGCUCAAUGGUAAAUGUUUCAUGCAGUCAGGCUGAAAAAUAUGGACAAAUUAGAAGGUGUCUUAGAAGAAAUAGAUUGCGAUGAUGAAUCUUGUGAACAGGUUUGUAGGAGUUCCUCUCUACUAUUGGAUUUCCAUCUUUAAUGCAUUGUAUAUUUUGUUCAACAUAAAAUAAGAAGUUGAUCAAUAGCAAGUAUAUUAAUUUAAUAAAAUAAAAAGUUAAUAAUAAUAAGAAUGAUUUAAACAUAGUACCCCUCUGAUUGAUUGAAAAUGGACAGACUUUCUUUAUCGCAAAAGCGUGUUGAUAACAUGUUGUGACAUGUUUUACUGAAAAGAGAGACAUUGUAGUGGAGAGAGAUGGAGAAGGGCUAGAGGACUUCUAUGAGUGUUAUUCAUCAUGCCUUGUACUUUUAUUUAUAGUAAACUGAAUACGAUUAAUUGCCUUGUAAAUAAUACAAUCAUAAAGGGAUAUAGGAUCUUCUUUUGUGUGUUAUUCAUCAUGCAUUUUUUUAUUUAUAGUAAACUGAAUACAAUUCAUUGCUUUGUAAAUAAUACAAUCAUAAAGGAAUAUAGGAUCUUCCAGCAUCUUAAAUACAAUUACUAAUAAUUUACACAAUCACACAUAUGUCAUAAUUAAUAUAGUAAAUACAUAUAUAUCAAUACUGAAGUUUCGAAGGGUAUACAACUGGGUGCUGAGCUUUAUGUACUAUUAUUUGACGAAAAGGACUGAUAAUUACUGUUCUUGUUCACACAUAGAAUUGAAACGAGAUUUACGCGUAGU
RNAcentral lists this small RNA (1127 nucleotides) under Malus domestica (apple). Its description in RNAcentral is "sRNA MD02G0139700". The record is from RNAcentral. Lineage: Eukaryota; Viridiplantae; Streptophyta; Magnoliopsida; Rosales; Rosaceae.